This 1852-nucleotide long non-coding RNA is filed under the name Monodelphis domestica (gray short-tailed opossum). RNAcentral's name for it is "lncRNA (ENSMODG00000034329.2)". Lineage: Eukaryota; Metazoa; Chordata; Mammalia; Didelphimorphia; Didelphidae. The record is from RNAcentral.
GUAUAGUAUGGAGGGGAGAGGGGUAUUAAGCUGAAAAGAGAUUAAACUUGGCUUGGUUGGUUCUCCAUCACAAUGGUGCUUAACCAUAUUUUCCAAACUAAAAAUCAGGACGCAUGAUUGGACAGUGAAAUUUAUGCACAGACUUAUUGUAUAGAACAAAUGUUAUUUUCUCAAAAUCAGUCCUGUUCCAGUAAAUCUGGGCUAGAUGGCGACUGUGGGGUGGACUAUAUGACAGCCAACACAAUCAGAAGACCUGGUUCAAGUUCCCCUUCUGACACACCAAGGGCAAGUUCCUUACCCUCUCAAGGUUCCAAUGCAGAGCCACACUGGGAGAUGGAUUUCCUCAGUGGAAGUCCUCUAGACCACUGUGACAUCAGAGGUCCAGUACCUUCUCUAGCAACAACAACAACAAAAUGGAGACUAGUACCUGGGUUGGAUGAAACUAAAAUUCAGGAGUACCGUAUUACUUGCUCAGGAUCACACAGUUUGUUCCUGAAUUGAAGAAUACAGGACGACAAUCAAGAUCGACAGCAGACAAGAGUGGCAUGCUGACCAGAUGACCAGAGUUUCUCCAAUCAACAUCAAAGGACAUGGAAGGACUUUGAAAGUUUGGACUUGUGAUCCUGAGGUUAUGUAAGAAUGCGACAUACAUAUUAACAUCACAUAUAUAUAUAUAUAUAUAUAUAUACACAUUCUACAAAGGAAGAUAUCUCAUGGAAUGGAAUUAAAUUUGACUACUUCCCUACUGAGGAACCUCUUUCUUCUUUCAAAGUGGAUGGCAGUGAGGGGAGAGGAACCAUCAAAGGGAUAUUCAAUUCUGGAUCUAAUUCUCACCAGAAAAGGAAGCACUGAACAAACUGUCUCGGGCUAUCCUUGCGAAAAAGAUGGAGAGAUGCCAAUGGGAUCACAAUGCAAAGAAGUAGAGUCAGCAUGGGCUGCAUGGCAGGACCCAAACAUUAAUCACGAAUAUUCAAUGCCACCUUGGAGAGAGAUCUUCCAUGCAGGGGAAUCUUUCUCAGUGCUGAGUGAACUUCAAAGAACACACCAUCAAGCAAAUGAUUUCAUGUGGGUCUGCUUUCCUCCUUGUCACAUUUCAGCCAGGACAGCUCAUAGCCAGGUCUGGCAGCUAUCAACAGGUGGCAUCAGGCAUCUCUUCCCAGUGUGGCAUCUACUAAGCCAUAGGCAGCCUGGCCCAGUCUCUCAUAGGACAACAUCCCAAAUCAAUACAGAGGGGAACGCCUCUGCCCCACAACUUUAGCGUUGGUCCAUACUAAAGUCUUCCUCCCCAUGGUUCACAAAGUCAUCAUCAUAAUAGCUAACAUUUACAGAUCUUAAGAUGUGCAAAGCACUUUACAUUUAUGUUGUGUAGUUUCUUGCACAUAGGAGCCUUGUGUUAAUGCUAUCCACAAUGCCUUUCACAGCUUUGGAUCAAGAAAGAACUUCAGAAGCUAUCUAGCCUCACUUCCAUAUUUCAUUCCUGUGAAAACUAGGUCCACGGAGGAUAAAUGACCAAGGAAGAUCAAAUAAGGUAAUAUUUACUGAGCACUUUGCAAACAUGUAAGUGCUAGCUAGUUGUCCUUAAUCAUCAGUGUCUGGAUUUGAACUCUGUUUCCUUGAUUCAAAGUCACUUUUUUCACUAUACCAGGCUGCUUUCAUUGCUGCUAUUCCUAGGGAAGCUAACCUCACAAAAUUUAGUCUAGAGAGCAGGCAUAUCAUAAUUUUCUAUCCCUUAGGGAAUCUGAUCUCUAGCAGCAUAUUUAAGUGUUUUUCUCUCAUGGACAGUUGGGAAGGAUGUCUCUCCACCUAUAUUAGUGAUACUCAGUAGCCAAUUCUUAGAUUCUCAAAUCUCAAA